Molecule: long non-coding RNA, 1882 nt
Organism: Ailuropoda melanoleuca (giant panda)
Lineage: Eukaryota; Metazoa; Chordata; Mammalia; Carnivora; Ursidae
Exons: 3
Source: RefSeq, a predicted model, not a curated record
ACAAGCAGGGGGAGUGGGAGAGGAAGAAGCAGGCUCCCAGCCGAGGAGCCCGAUGUGGGACUCGAUCCCGGAACACCGGGAUCACGCCCUGAGCCGAAGGCAGAAUGCUUAACGACUGCACUACCCGGGCGCCCCAGUAAGAAGAACUUUUGACACAUCCAGGUUUCUGCUAUCUUUAAAAUCAUAAAACUAAGCUGAAUGAAAAUUUCCAAAACUGACAGAAAAAGCUGCGUCCAAACAGAACAAAAAUUAACAUAGGACUGAAUGAAAUAAGGAAGAUGAUAAAAUAUUCCUUUAUGAACAAAUUGAAACAUUUAAUUUUCUCCCUAUCUGAACCCUCCAGGAUUCAGAAACCCUCAGACACCCUUGGAAACACAGGUUAUCCUACCAAGGAUGUGUCAUAUUUGAGAGAGACAUGACCAGACAGCUUUAAGGAACUAAGCUUGACUUUGUGGAGCCUUGGAGAUAUUGGCCUGCUGCUUGGCUGACAGAGUUCCCAGCAGCUUUACCAGCUUUAGGGCAGGCAGGAGUGCCUGAGGAAUGUCACACAUGUCCCUCCUGGGCAGGGGGCUGGUUCGCUGUGUCAGCUUGUGCUCUGUCCUCAGCUUGCCUUCUGCUCCCUCAUCAUAGGGACAUCUCUGACCUCUAUUGGCUUGAAGAAGUUACAAAAGAUGAGCCCUUAACCCUUCAAGAACCUUAAAGAUUUAAGGACUGAAAACUGAUCAGAGGGGAAGUGAUGAGGGAUAGAAGCAAGAAAAUGUCCAUCUUCAGCCCAGAAGGCUGACCUACAGCCUGCAUCAUUGGAUAAGGAUCAAAUACUCACUGGACGCUACAUUCUCCAGAGGUCUACUGACAGCUGUACAUCUCACCUCUGUUAAUACCGAACUGAAUGAUAAGCCCCAGAGAAAUCUUGCAAAGUAGUUUUAUGAGUAAAAACUCAAAGACAUUUAUGAUCUAAUGCUCCCUUAUGUCUCCUCCCCCUUGAGGACUAAGUACAUGACUGAUGUCAUGUGGGAUCUGGGAGUGAAAGGGCAGGAAAGAAUUCUUGAGACAUUUCCGGUGCAAAAAGGUGUUUUUAUUAAAGCAUGGGAACGGGACCCAUGGGCAGGAAGAGCUCUCCGGGGAUUUCGAGGAGUGACUGAUUAUGUACUUUUUAGUUAGUGGGGGUUAGGGACAGCGGAAGCCUCUAAGGAAUUUGGAAGGAAGUCUUCCAGGACCUUUGGGAGGCUAGCUGCUGUUAAGAUAAGGUUAUUUACCACUGUCCAGUAAGACAUAAGUUACGAGAACCUUCAGAUGUCUGUCAGUGAGCCAUAUGUUUGGAGGACGAUUGCCAACAUAGAUCUUUUGGGGGGAGCAUAUAGAGUAGAGAUAAAGGAAGUUUUCAAAGGGAUUUUCAUACGCUAAGAUUGCUUUUUGCCUCUGGCAAAGCAUCAACAUUGGGGCACCCAGGUGGCUUAGUCGUUAAGCGGCUGCCUUUGGCUCAGGUCAGGAUCCCCCUGGUGUUGAGAUCAGCCCUGCGUCAGGCUCCCUGCUCAGCGGGGAGUCUGCUUCUCCCUCUGCCCCUCCACUCACGCUCUCACUUUGUCAGAUAAACAAUGUUUUUUUAAGCAGUUGUGAGUUCCUCGAGGAAUGUCCUACUCUCCCUGCCCCAGGUAUUUGUGGAUGGGCUGUGGGUUGUAAGAACAUGUAAUCUUCUCUACAUUUCUUUUGCCUUUGUCCUCAUCAAUAACCGCCAGCCUCAUACAGCAAGAGCGCAGCUCUUCCGGCCUACAAGUCCUGUCCUGGUGCUAGAACAAAAGCAGCUUUUUUUUUUUUAAGAUUUUAUUUAUUUAUUUGAGAGAGAGAGAGAGAUCGAAAGAGAGCACAACCCGGGGGAGGGAUA